CAGAAAUGAAGCAGAGAAAAAGUCAAAUUCUGCUUCUCGUCUCACUGACUCUGCCCUGUGUGGUUUCAAGCUCGACGUGUUUCGGUGACAGCAGUCCUGCAGAGACAAAAGGUGAAGC
Molecule: long non-coding RNA, 118 nt
Organism: Nematolebias whitei (Rio pearlfish)
Lineage: Eukaryota; Metazoa; Chordata; Actinopteri; Cyprinodontiformes; Rivulidae
Exons: 3
Source: RefSeq, a predicted model, not a curated record